This 37-nucleotide non-coding RNA is filed under the name Cricetulus griseus (Chinese hamster). Its description in RNAcentral is "XIST RNA A repeat". It matches the Rfam family "XIST RNA A repeat". Lineage: Eukaryota; Metazoa; Chordata; Mammalia; Rodentia; Cricetidae. The record is from Rfam by way of RNAcentral.
UGGUCCAUCGGGACCUUGGAUACCUGGGUUUAGUGUU